RNAcentral lists this long non-coding RNA (2574 nucleotides) under Homo sapiens (human). RNAcentral's name for it is "HSALNT0177831". The record is from RNAcentral. Lineage: Eukaryota; Metazoa; Chordata; Mammalia; Primates; Hominidae.
GAUCAGCUGCAGCAUUAGAUUCUCAUAGGAGCAUAAACCCUAUUGUGAACUGCACAUGUGAGGGAUCUAGGUUCCCCACUCCUUAUGAGAAUCUAAUGCCUGAUGAUCUGUCACUGUCUCCCAUCACCCCCAGAUGGGACCAUCUAGUUGCAGGAAAACAAGCUCACAGCACCCACUGAUUCUACAUGAUGGUGAGUUGUGUAAUUUCAUUAUAGCACAAUAAUAAUAACAAAAAUAAAGUGCACAAUAAAGGUAAUGUGCUUGAAUCAUCCCAAAAAGAUCCCCCCUGCAUCCCCGCCCUCCCUGUCUGUGGAAACAUUGUCUUCCAUGAAACCAGUCCCUGGUGUCACAAAGGAUGGGGGCCACUGCUCUAAAGGAUCACACCAGGAUCUGUGCCGCACAGAACCUCUAAGCACUCAAGAGUGGAAGCAGGCAGACCAGAGAAGAUGCUACUGCAACAAUUAAGCACGAUGACACAGCCACUCAGCCCGGGAGGUGGCAGUGGUGAGGCUGUGAAGUGUUCAUGCUGGGAUUUAGCUUCAAAGCAGAAUUAACAGAAUCGACUUUUUUUUUUUUUUUUUUUUUUUGGACAAGGUCUUGCUCUGUCACCCAGGCUGGAGUGCAGUGGGGCAAUCACAGCUCACUGCAGCCUUGACCUCCCAGGCUCAAAGGGUCCUCCCACCUCAGCCUCCCCAGUAGCUAGGACCACAGGCCUGUGCCCACAUGCCCGGCUUGUUGACAUGUUUGAUCUGGGUGUGAGACAGUGAGGGAGGCUGGUUUUAAACUGAGCAACGAACCCAAAGGUUGGAGGUGCCACCACCCAAGAUGUAGCAGGAUCCAGUGUGGCACCUUUGGCAGGAACAGUUAGGAGCUGGACUGAAAAUACUGGCAGACAUACAUGCAGCCAUGAGCUUUCAGGCCUAUAUAGCUGGAGUGCAGGAAGGUCUGGGCUGGGGGUGUGGGCACCUGGGUGGAACGAGAGACACGCCUGGAGCAGAGCAGCAAGGAAGGGACUGCAGGCAGAGAAAGAACAUGUCCAGCUGGGCUGUUCCAGCCUUAAGAGGAAGAUAGGAGCCAGGCAGACUCAAAAGCAAAGUCAGGCUAAUGACAGGGGCUGGGCCCAGAGCAAGGUGCUGGGAGCCGGGGCUGGACCAGAAGUCAGGCAGCUCGGCAUGAACAGGGAUUCAAACCUGUCUGUUCACUGGGGUGCAGACGUGCAGCCUGGGAGUGGGGACAGGGGUACAUUGGUACAGUGCUAUGAGGUGCCACCUGCACCAGGUGGAAGGGAGUGUUCAUGCCAGGUCUCCAGAAGGACAGGGAGGAGGCCUUAGAGGCCACUGCCGGCUUCCUGCCUGCAACUGCUCUUGUCUGGAGACAGGAGAGACUGAACCAUCCAGGGCAAGGGGGCUCAGGACCUGGACGUGCUAAGUUUAAAAGCCAGAGGCUGGAAAAACAGACCCAGACAAUUUUGCAGAUGGGUCCUCAGAUGUGUUCUGUGUUUCUCUGCAUCACACAGACCACAGCAGAAAUGAGAGGCUUGGAUGACAGGAGACCCUGUGUCCAUCUGCACUUGGCCCCUGCCCUUGAGGCAGGCUCCAUGCCUCCCCCAGGUGCGGUAGUUGAGUAAGGAAAGCAGUCUGCCAGCGUCGUGCGGCCCAUGUGCCCAAACGUGCACAUCUGCAUUGACCCCAUGAACACUGGAGUUGCAUGGGCCCCAAGAGGGCAUCAUGCCUUCAGCCCACGUUUCUCCAAGCCUCAGGAUAUUAUUGAAGUCUCUGGGCUGCAAGUAGGAUGGCUGCCUGAUUCACCUCCCAGCCUCCCCUGGGGUUGCUUCUUGGAUGCCACAUAUCCACAGUCCACCGACUGGCCAGAGGAGGGCUGGGCGAAAGUGCAGCCACUUGUCUGCUGGACAUCCCAGGAAGAGGACAGCCAUGGCAUUUAAUACCCCAGACAAGCAAAUCACCAGUAAGUGACAGAUCUUCCUCCGUGGGGUUGGUGUUGGAAAUGCUGAGAGGCAUGGAAUCUGGCGGUGGCUGGCUCCUCCGUGGCUCUGAGUUGACCAAGGAGAACCGGCCUCUGGAGUGGCAGUAAAUCCAGGAGUGGGCUGUGCUGUUGACACCUUGGAAGGGUCUCCUGGGGCCGGGCCAACUGUAGGUGAUUUGUAAUUGAAUGGUGCUGAAACUUGGAAGAUCCUCACACUCAGCAAGGAAACACCACCUUCCUGGCCCUUCAAGCAACGUGAACUCAAUUUGCCAAGCUUUUCCCUGAAGCAGCAGUGACGCUUCCUACCGAGUUGGACCUGGUGCAAACCUGUGGCCACCCGCAGGGGCUGUGAAGGCUCUGAAGGAAGAGGUCACCAGGACCAGGCUUGUUCUGGGGACAGAUGAGGAUGUGCCUAGUCCUGAAAGACUGAACAUUGCUUCCCACGGCACCUGACCCCAGGGCACUCUUCCUAGUCCCAUAGGAUCCAGGCCCAGGCUGGCUUCCGCCGCCCCUGGGAAAUGGAAUUUGUGCAAUACCACCUGUAUUCCUUUGCUGUGGCUGCCUUAACAAAGCCCCACAGAUGUGUGGUUU